Long non-coding RNA from Haplochromis burtoni (Burton's mouthbrooder), 4976 nucleotides. RefSeq lists it as uncharacterized. Lineage: Eukaryota; Metazoa; Chordata; Actinopteri; Cichliformes; Cichlidae. The transcript has 3 exons. The record is from RefSeq and is a predicted model, not a curated record.
UGUUUCUGGGGAGACAAUAACCCGACGGACCAGUUGCAGGAACCCAAAACAUGGUGGGUGUGUCUUAUCAUGAUUCAUAAAAUACUGAUAAUGGAUUUUUGUGCUAAUAGUUAGGCUAACACACUUACUGUUCAUCUUUUCUUUCUCUCAGCGCAGUUCUCAGCAUAUUUUGGGUUAUUGUCUCCCCAGAAACACUUCCCUUGUGCUUUUGGAAAUCAGUUUUUUCCUAUUUCCGUUGUGUUUUGUGUGCUUUUGCAGCGUUUUUCUUAUUGCUGGUGUUUUCUUUAGUUGCAGUCCGUUUGGCCUCUCAGGGCCACCGUAAAGUUGUCCUAAGAUGGCACACUAUCUCGUAUCAGUUCAGUGACAUAAAUGAUAAAAUGCAGAUUUGAUUUGAGUAAAACAACAUUUUCUACUCAGCCUUUUUGCAUUUCCUCAUUUCUUAUUUUAGCUUGCACAUUAUUUCUUUCUCUCAACAGGUGAAAAAAAAAUCCUCCCCUGAAGUGUUAAUGGGUAAAUGUGACACUGCAAUCAACACAUCAGUGCAGGAUUUUUACGCCCUCGAGCACGAAAUAAAGAGCAAAGUAAAACGAUAGUAUUCACCUCAUCUAAUGAGAACCACAUGCACCUGCUUUGCUUUGCUAGCUAAUAUAUUGAAAGUAAAAACUAACAAGUAGCUAAUUUUAUUUAAUGUGAGUGCAUUUCAAUACAUUUAAAAAACACAUUUUUCACUGUCAGUCUUUGAAUAUUUCAGUAUAUUUUCCAGUGUGUGUCACAUGUAUGUGCGCUGUGUAGCAGCACAGCGUAAAAUGACAGUACAAUGCAGAUGUGAUGCUGUAAAUCAGUCGAGUGUAUUUAAUCGUGUUUCUCUGCUUGCAUGAAAUUAAAUGUCAUGUUUUCACCUCUUGCAGGUUUUCUGUUGACGAUACUCAGACUCUCUCAGGCGCUGUGUGCCUCACAUUUCCUCAUUCAUGUCUGUUUAAGCUCUAAUUCACACGCACUGAGGUCACACUCUCGGUUUGGAGCAUAAAAGAGCAGCGGGACGACGGACACGAGCCACACACUCCUGAAGGCUGCUGGGAGAGGCACGGGAGGGCGUCUCUGUCUGGACCUGCGUCGCUAUGGGUCUUCAGUCCAGCACUGCACAACAGCAGCAGCAGAUUUGGAGGGCGUUUGGCUCGGUUCAUCGGCUCUGAACGAGCGGCACCGCGGUGGCUCUGAUUGGCUGGCUGGACAUCCACUGAGCGCGACUUCAGGUGACGGAGAGGUUUAAGCUCGUGUUGGUGAGACGGCUCAGUGAGCCCGGUGACAGAGGAAGGAGAAAGACCAGCAAAGAGGUUUGACCAGGCGUGACCGCCGCCCCGCCCGGGACAAAUUCCUGACAGUUAUCAUGACCACUGGACGAGGACAGCGAGGCUUUCAUCUCAGAGGUCAGAUUUACUACUGAAACCACUGAGGAGAGCUGAACCCUCAGCACUAAGUGGAACAAAGAAAAACACUGAACGCUGUGAUCUAACUCAGAACAUUCCCGCUCCCACGUUUUACUCCAUCUUUCAAGUGGAAGUCUGAAUCCGGGCUUUGGGUUGUUCCCAUCUCUUCGGACUGGUUCUUGACAUGUCAAGAAAUGAUUUUGUGACUUUUAGUAAAUCUUCUGAGGCUUCAGAUGAGCCAAAGGACAAACCCAUGAAUGUCAGCAUCAGCGUGUCCUCUCCUCUGUCUUUCAUGCCUUCACUUCACCACAGGGGUCCCUAAUCCAGGAGGAGUUAAACCUCUCCUCCAUUCAGGCAGCAUAGAGACGAACAGACCCAAUUACACAAAGGAAGACAUGGACAAAGAAAGAACACAGAGAGGAACCUGAUGGACAUGAGAAAAGAGACAAAAGGUCAAACUUAAUGCAGUGCAGUGCUCAGAAAACGACCAAAAAAAGGCGGGUAGAUGAAGUUAAACUGACAGAAAGACGGGAAAAGGAGGAAUGAAAGGACAGGUGGCAGAGGUCAGGCUGAACGCCUUGCACUGGAGAGUAACGAAACUAAAGAGCAAAGUGGGAAAAGUAGGAGAUUACUGGGGGGAACAGCAUUGGCCAGAAGCCAGAGAGACCAUUAGCAAAGUUGGUCCGGUCAGUGUAGCGUAGCACCGACGUACAUUUAAAAACUCUGCUUCCAUCUCACAUUUCACACGCUCUGCAAUCCUGCUUUCAACCUCUGCUGCGGCGAUGUUGGCGCACCUCGUUCUCAGGUCACAGAAGAAGAAAAACCUGAACUGGGAGGUGAAAUAAUCCAUGUGGGUAGCACCGGAAAAGUCAGACCUGCAAUGCUUCAGUUCACUUACACAAUCUUAUAUUAUUAAAGAGCCGAUGUGUUGAUUAACUGGCUGUCACACAACCAUGUAUCACCGUCUUUCCACAUGAGGCUUUGCCUGAGUCACAAGCAUAGAAAGUCUCUUUUUAUGGUGGUGCACUGACUUCAGAGGGGACACGAGUCUUUGUGAUCUGUGGGCUUUAUCACAAAAACCACAAAAUCGAAAAACAGAAUCAAUCAUGCUGCCAGGAGUACAGACCCUGAAUAUGUCUUUACACUUACAGGACAACAGAGCUUUCACCAGGUUUCUGUCUGAUAGUAUCAAAACAACUCUUUGAUUGGUCAAAUCACAGGACAGUUCUCCGCUCAGGCCCAGAGAAGCAGCAGCAUUUCGCUGUCAUAUUGAGAUGUGUGGGAGCACCUUAGAGACCCAACCGCACGACCCACGUGUCAAACUCAAACGAUCGUUAACGCUGAUCGGGAGAAAAAAGUCCAAGGAGCGAGACAUGGAGUUAAAUCUGAGAACUCUAAGAAUACUAGGAAACUGGGAAAUCAGACUGAAGGAACACAGCUUAGAGAGACAACACGGCAAAGGACAAAGGAGGACUGAGACAAUAUAUACAAAAGCUAUACGGAGACAACUUUGCUAAACAGUGGGAAGUUAAACAAGAUCAAAAUAAAACAGGAAGUAAAACAGGAGAAACGUGACACAGGAGACACCGAAGGACACAAAACACAACAGGAAACUAACAGAAAGUAACUGUAACUAACACGAAGUAAUACAAAGUGUCAGAAGAUAAAUGAGGCUUGCAAACACAAAAGGAAAACUAAAGACUGAACAACCCAGACACGCUGAAGCCAAAGUGGGAUACAAACGUAAAUUAUCCUCAAAACAGAAUCACAAACCCACCCAGGGACCGUGACACUGUGUGUGGAGCUCGAUGUGUGGAACGGUCCAGCUGAUUAUCGAUAAAGUUACCGAAAUAAGCCGCUAUAAAAAUAGCACAUCGGAGCAGACGCCGACACUGUAGGGAUAACAGGAUGAAGUUUGGGUGACGUCAUCAUGUCAUGAGAGAAUGUCAUGUGAAAUCUUCAAUAUGUAAAAUUCAUCAUUAAUGUAGCAAAAGUUCAUCAAAGUGCUUCAAUUAAAAUAACAAAGUAAAUAUGAAUAAAUACAUUUAUUGAUUGUUGCAUAUCUAAAGUUCUUCCUUCAUUAAAAUAUUAAACCGUGUGCUUUGUAUAAAAUGUCAAACAAUAUUUAAAGAGAGUUAUUGAUUCUUCAGCCUUUAACUUUAUCAAUAAAAUGUUUAUGGGUUUGUAAUUAAAAUAAAAACAGAUACAAACAAACAAACAACUACAUAACCAAGUUUAGCUGCUCACAAAGCAGCAGGACGAAGGUUUUGGUGUUUGACGUGUUUGUUUUUACAGCUGCUUUAUAAAUCAUGUAUUAUGCUUGGAUUCACGGUGCAGACGCUCAAACGUCUGUGACCUGCUGCUUACAAACACUACAGCUGUUAGUACUGCUGCUGUGCUGGGUGAGAACAGAAGCACACUCCUCCUCUGAGGUCAUCGACACUGAUUUAAUUGGUCAUUUUUAAAAACAUCUUGUGUUUCAAGUUUCCUGGAAACGAAAUGUUCCGACUAAAAGAACAACAGUAACCAUCCGAGGUGGCAGAACGGGCCACGCCCACCGCGCUGAAACGUUUGCUCCAUGUUCAUGUGGUGCUGAUGGAGGGAGGAACGGCGGCUCCUACAACAACAGGCCGCCGAGUGGCAGUUGGGAUGCCCGCUGACGCCUGCGGACGAGGACCGACACCGCCGCGAUGACCUGUUUGUUUAACCUCUUCACCCCACCCCCGAGGAGAGGUCGAGGUAGCCAGCCAGCAGGACCCCCUUUCUCCUCCUCCUCCUCUUCUCCUUGUUCUUCUCGUCCAUGUCCUCUCCCGCUGCUCCCCUCCCGCUCUCAUACAGACCCACAAAGACCUCCUCGCGCUUCCCACGCCGUGUCGUUACCUCAAUUACAUCACAUGUCAUCAAGCACACCAGGGAUUUGGCCUGCUCGGGUUUUCCCUUGUGCCAAGUAUAUGGUUGGCUGUGGAGGAAAUGCCUGUGAGAUCCUAAUCACUACUUUCUUCUCUGCCAAGGUUUAAACGGGAAGUUUGGUGCAGUUUCCUUUGUGUUGUCUAAACGGCGCUGUCACAGUCACUGACAUGUAAACUCUGCUGCCUGCGUCACGCUGCAGAGUCAACGAUGUCUGUAAGUCAGUGCUCGGUCGUCAUUCUUUUCUCCCCGUUUUCAUGAAGCAGAUUCCUUUGCUGUACUUUGGAUUUUGAAGAAGGCAGCUGCUCAUUUCCACAUCCAGAGCAGCUUUGCAUGAUUCACAGUUUAAAAUGAGCCAUAUUUAUCUGAUACUUUACCUUGGAGAAUCCCCUCAGUGUCACGCUCCUGGAUUGUUUGACCCAGAGUUUUUGGACUUUCUAUUUUUGUUUAUUUAGAUAUUUUGAUUCUUGGUUUGAUCAUUGCUCAUAUUUUCAUCAUGUAGUCUCCUUUUAUCGUGUAUUUAGACUUUAGUCCGUUCUUAGUUCCUGGUUGAGUUUAGUUCUUCCCUCGGUGUUUAAUCCUCCCAGUGUUGCCAACUCCUCAGUAAGGAAAAUCGCUAUUGGCUGUCCUGCAAGUCGCUAG